RNAcentral lists this ribosomal RNA (398 nucleotides) under Lacticaseibacillus rhamnosus. RNAcentral's name for it is "bacterial SSU rRNA". It matches the Rfam family "Bacterial small subunit ribosomal RNA", at positions 1137 to 1533 of the family's 1533-position model. The record is from RNAcentral. Lineage: Bacteria; Bacillati; Bacillota; Bacilli; Lactobacillales; Lactobacillaceae.
ACUCUAGUAAGACUGCCGGUGACAAACCGGAGGAAGGUGGGGAUGACGUCAAAUCAUCAUGCCCCUUAUGACCUGGGCUACACACGUGCUACAAUGGAUGGUACAACGAGUUGCGAGACCGCGAGGUCAAGCUAAUCUCUUAAAGCCAUUCUCAGUUCGGACUGUAGGCUGCAACUCGCCUACACGAAGUCGGAAUCGCUAGUAAUCGCGGAUCAGCACGCCGCGGUGAAUACGUUCCCGGGCCUUGUACACACCGCCCGUCACACCAUGAGAGUUUGUAACACCCGAAGCCGGUGGCGUAACCUUUUAGGAGCGAGCCGUCUAAGGUGGGACAAAUGAUUAGGGUGAAGUCGUAACAAGGUAGCCGUAUCGGAAGGUGCGGCUGGAUCACCUCCUUU